GUCUACAUCCAUGCCACCCUGAAUGUGCUGGAUCUUGUCUGAUUUCAAGCUAAGCAGGGUCAGGCCUGGGCCUGGUUAGUACUUGGAUGGGAGACCACCUAGGAAUACCAGGUGCUGUAGGUG
This 123-nucleotide ribosomal RNA is filed under the name Pteropus alecto (black flying fox). The record is from RNAcentral. RNAcentral also lists the same sequence under 1 other name. Lineage: Eukaryota; Metazoa; Chordata; Mammalia; Chiroptera; Pteropodidae.